This 525-nucleotide ribosomal RNA is filed under the name uncultured bacterium. RNAcentral's name for it is "partial 16S ribosomal RNA". It matches the Rfam family "Bacterial small subunit ribosomal RNA", at positions 28 to 523 of the family's 1533-position model. The record is from RNAcentral.
GACGAACGCUGGCGGCGUGCCUAAUACAUGCAAGUCGAACGAAGCUGUUUUAACUGGUGCUUGCACCGACUUAAACAACUGAGUGGCGAACGGGUGAGUAACACGUGGGUAACCUGCCCCCAAAGCGGGGGAUAACAUUUGGAAACAGAUGCUAAUACCGCAUAAUCACAGAAACCACAUGGUUUCUGUGUCAAAGAUGGUUUCGGCUAUCACUUUGGGAUGGACCCGCGGCGUAUUAGCUAGUUGGUAAGGUAAUGGCUUACCAAGGCAAUGAUACGUAGCGGAACUGGGAGGUUGAUCGGCCACAUUGGGACUGAGACACGGCCCAAACUCCUACGGGAGGCAGCAGUAGGGAAUCUUCCACAAUGGACGAAAGUCUGAUGGAGCAACGCCGCGUGAGUGAAGAAGGUUUUCGGAUCGUAAAACUCUGUUGUCAGAGAAGAACGUGUGCGAGAGUAACUGUUCGUGCAGUGACGGUAUCUGGCCAGAAAGCCACGGCUAACUACGUGCCAGCCGCCGCAGUAA